GAUGAAGAACGUAGCGAAAUGCGAUAAGUAACGUGAAUUGCAGAAUUCAGUGAAUCAUCGAAUCUUUGAACGCACAUUGCGCCCCCUGGUAUUCCGGGGGGCAUGCCUGUUCGAGCGUCAUUUCACCACUCAAGCCUCGCUUGGUAUUGGGCAACGCGGUCCGCCGCGUGCCUCAAAUCGACCGGCUGGGUCUUCUGUCCCCUAAGCGUUGUGGAAACUAUUCGCUAAAGGGUGCUCGGGAGGCUACGCCGUAAAACAAACCCAUUUCUAAGGUUGACCUCGGAUCAGGUAGGGAUACCCGCUGAACUUAAGCAUAUCAAUAAGCGGAGGA
This 331-nucleotide unclassified non-coding RNA is filed under the name soil metagenome. RNAcentral's name for it is "partial contains 5.8S ribosomal RNA, internal transcribed spacer 2, and large subunit ribosomal RNA". The stretch from base 1 to 120 matches the Rfam family "5.8S ribosomal RNA", at positions 35 to 154 of the family's 154-position model. The record is from RNAcentral.